GAGCACGGCCAUAGCGGAGGGGUAAUACCCGGUCCCAUAUCGAACCCGGAAGUCAAGCCCUCCUGCGUCGUUUCCUGUACUGUGGUGCGAAAGCCCACGGAAAAGUUCGUCGUUGUGCCUU
Euryarchaeota archaeon TMED129 is the source of this 121-nucleotide non-coding RNA. NCBI's taxonomy places the organism in Archaea, Methanobacteriati, Methanobacteriota. The record is from Rfam.